Non-coding RNA from Macaca mulatta (Rhesus monkey), 2245 nucleotides. Lineage: Eukaryota; Metazoa; Chordata; Mammalia; Primates; Cercopithecidae. The record is from RefSeq and is a predicted model, not a curated record.
CCCUCCAUUCCUCUCUCUUCUCCCUUAGCCUGUGUUCUCAAGAACUUAAAACCUCUUCAACUCUCGCCUGACCUAAAAUUUAAGUGUCUUAUUUUCUUCUGCAACGCGGCUUAAUCCCAAUACGAACUCGACAGUGGUUCCAAAUAGCCAGAAAACGGCACUUUUGAUUUUUCCAUCCUACAAGAUCUAGAUAAUUCUUGUCGUAAAAUAGGCAAACGGUCUGAGGUGCCUGACGUCCAGGCAUUCUUUUACAUGUUGUUCCCUCCCUAGUCUCUGUUCCCAAUGCCACUCAUCCCAAAUCCUCCUUCUUUCCCACCCUCCUGUCCCCUCUGUCCCAACCCCAAGCAUCACUGAGUCUUUCUAAUCUUCCUUUUCUACAGACCCGUCUGACCUCUCCCCUUCUCCCCAGGCUGCUCCUCACCAGGCCGAGCCAGGCCCCAAUUCUUCCUCAGCCUCUGCUCCCCCACCCUAUAAUCUUUCUAUCACCUCCUCUCCUCACACCGCGUCUGGUUUACAGUUUCAUUCUGUGACUAGCCCUCCCCCACCUGCCCAACAAGUUCCUCUUAAAGAGGUGGCUGGAGCUAAAAGCACAGUCAAGGUUAAUGCUCCUUUUUUCUUUAUCCUACCUCUCCCAAAUCAGUUAGCAUUUAGGCUCUUUUCCAUCAUAUAUAAAAACCCAGCCCAGUUCAUGGCCUGCUUGGCAGCAACCCUGAGACGCUUUACCGCCCUAGACCCAGAGGGGCCCGAAGGCCACCUUAUUCUUAAUAUGCAUUUUAUCACCCAGUCAGCUCCUGACAUUAGAAAAAGCUCCAAAAAUUAGAUUCUGGCCCUCAAACCCCAUAACACAACUUAAUUAGCCUCGCCUUCAAAGUGUACAAUAAUAGAGUAGAGGCAGCCAAGUAGCAAUGUAUUUCUGAGUUGCAAUUCCUUGCCUCCACUGUGAGACAAACCCCAGCCACAUCUCCAGCACACAAGAACUCCAAACGCCUGAACCACAGCUGCCAGGGGUUCCUCCACAACCUCCUCCUCCAGGAGCUUGCUACAAGUGCCGGAAAUCUGGCCACUGGACCAAGGAAUGCCCGCAGCCUGGGAUUCCUCCUAAGCCAUGUCCCGUCUGUGCGGUACCCCACCGGAAAUUGGACUGUCCAGUUGGCCCAAGGCUCUGACUGACUCCUUCCCAGAUCUUCUCGGCUUAGCGGCUGAAGACUGACACUGUCCGAUUGCCUUGGAAGCUCCCUGGACCAUCAUGGACGCCAAGCUUUGGGUAACUCUCACAGUAGAGGAUACAGAGAGGAGUCUGGGAGGCCACAUGUUUCAGACUUAAGUAACUUGGUGGCGACAUUUAGUGAGAUGGGAGGAAACACAGGAAGGGAACGAGGCUGCGUAGAGGAAAAGGGUGAUGAACUCGGUUUGGGAAGUGCUGAUGUGAAUGCCCUACGAUGAAAAAAGAAGUCUUCCGAUUUCUCCCUCUGAAGUCUUUGCUUCUUCCCUUGGAAAGAACACAGCCUAUGACAUCAGGUUGAAACCAGGAAUGUAGUUCUCUGAAAAUACUAUGUGUGGGGGUCGGGGGAAGGACUUUACCUUGUCCCAUUCAUUACCAGGAUACUUUCCUCUCUGAAACCUUCGCUCCCUGAACAUUUCCUAGAUUGUCCAUCUUUUCCUCAUUUUUAGAUUGUAAGCAAUGAACUGUUAAUAAUUUUGUACAUUUUGGUUUUACAGCCACGCACUUUAUUCUUCUUUGUCAAGUUUAAAGUAUUGUAGGGCUUGUGCCUUCCCACAUAAAAUUUAGAACAAACUUGUCUAUUUCCACAAAAAGCCAUGUUGGUAGUUUGAGAGGAAUUGCAAUCAACCUAUGGAUCAAAUUGAGAAUUGUAUCCUUAUGAUGUUGAAUCUUCCAACCCACGGACAUGGUAUGUCUCUCUAUUAAAAUAGUUCUUUUUUUCACUUCUUUCCUCAGAAGUGUGUGAUUUUUUUUCAACAUACAGAUCCUAUGCAUGUUUUGUUAGAUUUAUAUUUAAAUACUUCCUUUGCUCUUAAGAGAUUUAAACUGUUAUUAUGUUUUUGAUUUCAGUUUUUACAUGUUUGUAGUUAGCAUAUAGAAAUGUGAUUGCAUUUCUCAUGUUGACCUUGUAUUCUGUGACCUUGGUAAACUCACCUAUUAAUUUUAAGAGGUUAUUUGUAUAUUACUUGGCAUUUUCUAUGUAGAUAAUCAUGUCAUCUGCAAAUAUGGACAGUUUUAUUUCUA